This 1331-nucleotide ribosomal RNA is filed under the name metagenome. RNAcentral describes it as "bacterial SSU rRNA". It matches the Rfam family "Bacterial small subunit ribosomal RNA", at positions 173 to 1498 of the family's 1533-position model. The record is from RNAcentral.
AUAUUCUGUGAGCAGGAAAGCAGGGGAUCGCAAGACCUUGCGCUGAUUGAGCGGCCGAUAUCAGAUUAGCUUGUUGGUGAGGUAAAAGCUCACCAAGGCGACGAUCUGUAGCGGGUCUGAGAGGAUGAUCCGCCACACUGGAACUGAGACACGGUCCAGACUCCUACGGGAGGCAGCAGUGGGGAAUUUUGGACAAUGGGGGCAACCCUGAUCCAGCCAUGCCGCGUGAGUGAAGAAGGCCUUCGGGUUGUAAAGCUCUUUCAGCCGGGAAGAAAACGCAUGGGUUAAUACCCUGUGUGGAUGACGGUACCGGAAUAAGAAGCACCGGCUAACUACGUGCCAGCAGUCGCGGUAAUACGUAGGGUGCGAGCGUUAAUCGGAAUUACUGGGCGUAAAGCGUGCGCAGGCGGUUUUGUAAGACAGGCGUGAAAUCCCCGGGCUUAACCUGGGAACUGCGUUUGUGACUGCAAGGCUAGAGUACGGCAGAGGGGGGUGGAAUUCCACGUGUAGCAGUGAAAUGCGUAGAGAUGUGGAGGAACACCAAUGGCGAAGGCAGCCCCCUGGGUCGAUACUGACGCUCAUGCACGAAAGCGUGGGUAGCAAACAGGAUUAGAUACCCUGGUAGUCCACGCCCUAAAUGAUGUCAACUAGGUGUUGGGAGGGUAAAACCUUUUAGUACCGGAGCUAACGCGUGAAGUUGACCGCCUGGGGAGUACGGCCGCAAGGUUAAAACUCAAAGGAGUUGACGGGGACCCGCACAAGCGGUGGAUGAUGUGGAUUAAUUCGAUGCAACGCGAAAAACCUUACCUACCCUUGACAUGCCAAGAACUUUCCAGAGAUGGAUUGCUGCCCGAAAGGGAACUUGGACACAGGUGCUGCAUGGCUGUCGUCAGCUCGUGUCGUGAGAUGUUGGGUUAAGUCCCGCAACGAGCGCAACCCUUGUCGUUAAUUGCCAUCAUUUAGUUGGGCACUUUAACGAGACUGCCGGUGACAAACCGGAGGAAGGUGGGGAUGACGUCAAGUCCUCAUGGCCCUUAUGGGUAGGGCUUCACACGUCAUACAAUGGUCGGUACAAAGGGUCGCCAAGCCGCGAGGUGGAGCCAAUCCCAGAAAGCCGAUCGUAGUCCGGAUCGCAGUCUGCAACUCGACUGCGUGAAGUCGGAAUCGCUAGUAAUCGUGGAUCAGAAUGUCACGGUGAAUACGUUCCCGGGUCUUGUACACACCGCCCGUCACACCAUGGGAGCGGGUUCCGCCAGAAGUAGGUAGCCUAACCGCAAGGAGGGCGCUUACCACGGCGGGGUUCGUGACUGGGGUGAAGUCGUAACAAGGUA